GAUGAACGCUGGCGGCGUGCCUAAUACAUGCAAGUCGAGCGAACGGACGAGAAGCUUGCUUUUCUGAUGUUGGCGGCGGACGGGUGAGUAACACGUGGAUAACCUACCUAUAAGACUGGGAUAACUUCGGGAAACCGGAGCUAAUACCGGAUAAUAUUUUGAACCGCAUGGUUCAAAAGUGAAAGACGGUCUUGCUGUCACUUAUAGAUGGAUCCACGCUGCAUUAGCUAGUUGGUAAGGUAACGGCUUACCAAGGCAACGAUGCAUAGCCGACCUGAGAGGGAGAUCGGCCACACUGGAACUGAGACACGGUCCAGACUCCUACGGGAGGCAGCAGUAGGGAAUCUUCCGCAAUGGGCGAGAGCCUGACGGGGCAACGCCGCGUGAGUGAUGAAGGUCUUCGGAUCGUAAAACUCUGUUAUUAGGGAAGAACAUAUGUGUAAGUAACUGUGCACAUCUUGACGGUACCUAAUCAGAAAGCCACGGCUAACUACGUG
Molecule: ribosomal RNA, 497 nt
Filed under: uncultured bacterium
Lineage: Bacteria
Description: partial 16S ribosomal RNA
Rfam family: Bacterial small subunit ribosomal RNA
Source: RNAcentral